Long non-coding RNA from Salvelinus fontinalis (brook trout), 845 nucleotides. RefSeq lists it as uncharacterized. The record is from RefSeq and is a predicted model, not a curated record. NCBI's taxonomy places the organism in Eukaryota, Metazoa, Chordata, Actinopteri, Salmoniformes, Salmonidae. The transcript has 3 exons.
CCAUGUCCUGAAAAGGAAGGACGUGUCAGCUUGAGCUAGCAGGAUCUGUAGACAGCACUUUGCAGAGGCAGACUUCGCGAUGAAGAGCACUUGCGAUGCGGCAACCGGGAGUUUCCGAAUGGAAAGGAGUCAUAGGCCUAUGUUGAAGCCCUCUGCUUGCGCCUCCAUUUAAAAUUGAGGGUUAUGUUGUAGGGGUUACCGACCGACCAUCAUCAACAUCGCUGAAGCAAUUGAAUUGAACGGAGGAGGUUCCGCGAGUCAAUGCAAUGGAGCCUGAGGAUGACAUCUUCAUCCCUGAAAAGGUUUUCAUCCUGGAGGAGACUGAAGGAGGUAGAGGAAAGAAGAGUUAGUACAGCAUGCCAAACAGGAAAGAAGAGUUAGUACAGCAAGCCAAACAGGAAAGAAGAGUUAGUACAGCAUGCCAAACAGGAAAGAAGAGUUAGUACAGCAUGCCAAACAGGAAAGAAGAGUUAGUACAGCAUGCCAAACAGGAAAGAAGAGUUAGUACAGCAUGCCAAACAGGAAAGAAGAGUUAGUACAGCAUGCCAAACAGGAAAGAAGAGUUAGUACAGCAUGCCAAACAGGAAAGAAGAGUUAGUACAGCAUGCCAAACAGGAAAGAAGAGUUAGUACAGCAUGCCAAACAGGAAAGAAGAGUUAGUACAGCAUGCCAAACUGAACCCUGGGUGCCAGUGUUCCUGUGCUGCGGUGGAGAAGAGGUCCACAGGGACCAUCACUAAAGCGCUCGGGGCCCAGCUAGAUAGCGCUCACGACCAUCAGUAUAUAACCGAGUCCUGGCCCAAUAUGCCACAGAUGGAGCUGACGGAGAGUGAGAUCAGUGAAGAC